Molecule: ribosomal RNA, 253 nt
Filed under: uncultured bacterium
Lineage: Bacteria
Description: partial 16S ribosomal RNA
Rfam family: Bacterial small subunit ribosomal RNA
Source: RNAcentral
UACAGAGGGGGCAAGCGUUGUUCGGAAUUACUGGGCGUAAAGGGCGCGUAGGCGGCCUUCUAAGUCGAACGUGAAAUCCCUGGGCUCAACCCAGGAACUGCGUCCGAUACUGGCAGGCUUGAAUCCGGGAGAGGGAUGUGGAAUUCCAGGUGUAGCGGUGAAAUGCGUAGAUAUCUGGAGGAACACCGGUGGCGAAGGCGGCAUCCUGGACCAACACUGACGCUGAUGAGCGAAAGCCAGGGGAGCAAACGGG